CAGUAGCCACGGGAAUACGGAGGGUGCAAGCGUUAAUCGGAAUUACUGGGCGUAAAGCGUGCGUAGGCGGUUCGUUAAGUCUGUUGUGAAAGCCCCGGGCUCAACCUGGGAAUGGCAAUGGAUACUGGCGAGCUAGAGUGUGUCAGAGGAUGGUGGAAUUCCCGGUGUAGCGGUGAAAUGCGUAGAGAUCGGGAGGAACAUCAGUGGCGAAGGCGGCCAUCUGGGACAACACUGACGCUGAGGCACGAAAGCGUGGGGAGCAAACAGGAUUAGAUACCCCCGUAGUCCCUGUCUCUUAUAC
This 301-nucleotide ribosomal RNA is filed under the name uncultured bacterium. Its description in RNAcentral is "partial 16S ribosomal RNA". It matches the Rfam family "Bacterial small subunit ribosomal RNA", at positions 509 to 807 of the family's 1533-position model. The record is from RNAcentral.